GCCACCGUAGCUCAGUGGUUAGAGCACUGGUCUCGUAAACCAGGGGUCGUGAGUUCAAUCCUCACUGGUGGCU
Molecule: transfer RNA, 73 nt
Filed under: Caerostris extrusa
Lineage: Eukaryota; Metazoa; Arthropoda; Arachnida; Araneae; Araneidae
Also listed under: 1 other name
Description: tRNA-Thr
Rfam family: tRNA
About the family: Transfer RNA (tRNA) molecules are approximately 80 nucleotides in length. Their secondary structure includes four short double-helical elements and three loops (D, anti-codon, and T loops). Further hydrogen bonds mediate the characteristic L-shaped molecular structure. tRNAs have two regions of fundamental functional importance: the anti-codon, which is responsible for specific mRNA codon recognition, and the 3' end, to which the tRNAs corresponding amino acid is attached (by aminoacyl-tRNA synthetases). tRNAs cope with the degeneracy of the genetic code in two manners: having more than one tRNA (with a specific anti-codon) for a particular amino acid; and 'wobble' base-pairing, i.e. permitting non-standard base-pairing at the 3rd anti-codon position.
Source: RNAcentral